This is a long non-coding RNA of Limulus polyphemus (Atlantic horseshoe crab), 237 nucleotides long. RefSeq lists it as uncharacterized. Lineage: Eukaryota; Metazoa; Arthropoda; Merostomata; Xiphosura; Limulidae. The transcript is spliced from 3 exons. The record is from RefSeq and is a predicted model, not a curated record.
GAAAGGAUUCGUCAAGGUAAAGCUUCUGCAGAUAGAAGUAGCAGAUGAACCAGUUAAAUGUUCUAGUAGCAGCCUCAUUGACCCUCUCUGUGUCGUACAUCUGAAGGAAACAGCAGACAAUAUAGGUAAAGGCGUCCCUGUGGUACAACUGAAGGAGACAAUAUAUCCGGAAUGGAACUCGUGUUUUGACGUACCGCUGGUCCGAGGUUCUUUUGUACAUAUACUGGUGAUGGACAA